UUUUGUUGUUUGAGCCAAAAGAAAGAGCAGUUUUGGCUCAUUAAAAAAAGAAAAAUGAUGAAAGUCAUAAAAAUAAAACUGUCCCAGGCAAUACAUUGUAUUUCUUGGGAAGUAAUCACCCAUUUUUGAUGAGGAAAGUUGGGUGAAAGUUGCCACAAGUACUGGACUAAGAAAAAAGUAUGUUUCAGGGUUCUUCUUUUGACAAUGACUAAUAGUUAGGGAUCCUGUAUACUGAAAAUUCAGCCGUGAAAUAUGUCUGGGCAAAAAUUGCUUUCAAAUGCAUUUUCACUUUCAGUUCAAAAGAUUUUUGUCAUCAAACAAUAUGUCCAAAAUAGGAUGUUGUGAUGAUGCAAAAAAAAAAAAAACACUAAAGAAAGCGCUCUGCGCAGUAUUGCCACAACCAUCCCGUACUCGGCCAUAGUUCUGUUAGUGUCUCCCUCUGGCAACCAUAGAAUUUGCAUCAGGUCAGAUUUUAAGUACUAUUAAUUCUGAAUGAAAUCUGUAACAUUGCGGUCCCACAUUGCGUACUCAUAAAUAAUGAAAAACAUGUCAUGUAACAAAACAAAAAAAGUCUGGUCACCUGACCUUUGAAACAUACAAAAGAGCCUCAUUUAAGGGGCUUGUAAACUACGCCCAUGUUUGGACUUCCUGAAAGGAGCAGUUUACAUAAUGUGGAUAGAAAGAAGAAAAAUUAUUAUAGAAUAUUGUCAUGAACUGGGUUAUAUGUGUUUUAUUGUUCUGUAUUGCCAAUGAGCGGUUGUGGCUAACAUGUCAUGUUCUGCUACUUUGACUACUCUUGUUUUUGAAAUACUAAACACGUCAUUCUUUUUGCGUGUGGGAACCAGGUGCUCGGUUCAGACAGCACAAAACACCGCACCUAUCUUCCGUGCCUUUGUUGCCCAACAUAGGUGGAUAAGGAGCGGCUCCUACUUCUCCUCCCACAGAAAAAAAUGGUUGUACUUUGCUAAUCAAUCUGGUCGUUGUGUAAUUUGACUGCUAGAAGCUCUCAGAUAGGCCAACUUCUUUGCUUCCUAUUCUCCAAGCCUGCUGCUUUUCGGCUCAACCCAAGCCGAUGUUGAGAGCUGCCUCUGUUGUACGACUCUGUCUCACCUGAUCGCAGUAAUAUUGCCCCACAGUUCUUAUUUCACCAUGCUGUGUGGCUGUCUGUGCCAGUGCUGCUGCUGCAUUUGAUGUAGUAAGUACAUUCA
Hippocampus zosterae (dwarf seahorse) is the source of this 1208-nucleotide long non-coding RNA. RefSeq lists it as uncharacterized. The record is from RefSeq and is a predicted model, not a curated record. NCBI's taxonomy places the organism in Eukaryota, Metazoa, Chordata, Actinopteri, Syngnathiformes, Syngnathidae. The transcript has 2 exons.